This 253-nucleotide ribosomal RNA is filed under the name uncultured bacterium. RNAcentral describes it as "partial 16S ribosomal RNA". It matches the Rfam family "Bacterial small subunit ribosomal RNA", at positions 524 to 776 of the family's 1533-position model. The record is from RNAcentral.
UACGUAGGUGGCAAGCGUUGUCCGGAAUUAUUGGGCGUAAAGCGCGCGCAGGCGGCUUCUUAAGUCUGAUGUGAAAUCUUGCGGCUCAACCGCAAGCGGUCAUUGGAAACUGGGAGGCUUGAGUGCAGAAGAGGAGAGUGGAAUUCCACGUGUAGCGGUGAAAUGCGUAGAGAUGUGGAGGAACACCAGUGGCGAAGGCGGCUCUCUGGUCUGUAACUGACGCUGAGGCGCGAAAGCGUGGGGAGCAAACAGG